Molecule: non-coding RNA, 64 nt
Organism: Cavia porcellus (domestic guinea pig)
Lineage: Eukaryota; Metazoa; Chordata; Mammalia; Rodentia; Caviidae
Source: Rfam
GGGGAUUUAGCUCAGCGGCAUAAGCGCCUGCCUUGCAAGCAGGUAGCCGUGAGUUCGAUCCCUG